RNAcentral lists this long non-coding RNA (1246 nucleotides) under Homo sapiens (human). RNAcentral's name for it is "HSALNT0110278". The record is from RNAcentral. Lineage: Eukaryota; Metazoa; Chordata; Mammalia; Primates; Hominidae.
GUGAGUUUUCCAGCACACCAGGCGGAAGUGGCCUGAGCUUUUAGGAUUUACCAUCAAGUCAUUGUGUCACUUCCUAUGGACCCUAUGUGAUGGUUAAUAUUGAUUGUCAACUUGAUUGGAUUGAAGGAUGCAAAGUAUUGUUCCUGGGUGUGUCUGUGAGGGUGUUGCCAAAGGAGAUUUGAAUCAUUUGAGUCAGUGGACUGGGAGAGGCAGACCCACCCUCAAUCUGCCAGCAUGGCUAGGCUAGAAUAAAGCAGGCAGAAGAAGGUAAAGGAGCAGACUUGCUGAGUCCUCCGGCCUUCAUCUUUCUCCUGUGCUGGAUGCUUCCCGCCCUCGAACAUCAGAUUCCAAGUUCUUCAGCUUUUGGACUCUUGGACUCUGGACUUACGCCAGUGAUUUGCCAGGGACUCUCAGGCCUGGCAAGACUCUCAGGCAGACCGAAGGCUGCGUCGUCGGCUUCCCUACUUUUGAAGUUUUGGGAUUCAGACUGGCUUCCUUGUUCCUCAGCUAGCAGAUGGCCUGUUGUGGGACUUCACCUUAGUUUUUUUUGUUUCGUUUUGUUUUGUUUUUGAGACAAGGUCUCACUCUGUCGCCCAGGCUGGAGUGCAAUGGCUCAAUCUUGGCUCACUGCAACCUCCGCCUCCCAGGCUCAAGCAAUUCUCCUGCCUCAGCCUCCUGAGUAGCUGGGACUACAGGAACACACCACCACGCCUGGCUAAAAGGGACUUCACCUUGUGAUCAUCCUUCCUUGUGUAUGUGACACGUUGUCCAGCUCUUAUGAAUCCUGGUGUCUCUCUGCUCUCCUGUCAUGGGCGAUGAUUUCCCCCUGCCUGACAAUGAUGGAGCCUCACCCUCCCCAUGGUCCAGCAUGACAGAAAGGAACGCAAAGCUGAAAUAUUUCCACAUUAACUCUGGCCAGAUGAAAGGAAAAAGAUGGAGUAGUAGAGAUUUUGAUCAUCAGUUUUCUUUAGUGCUUUUAAAGUUUUAGUUCUGUUAUGUGAUAGGGCCACACAGUCCCUUGGGAUAAGCAGUACUUAAAGAAAAAUGCCCAGCCCUACUUUUUUUGAUUUGCAUGUGAAAUGUUGUUUUUUGUUUGUCUGUUUGUUGCUACCAAAAUGAUUUAAAUGGAUUUUACCUGUUGCUAUAAUUGUAUAAUUUAAUUUUAUGGAAAGUGAAUGAAAUGUGAAUGGACAAAGAGUUGUGACUUCUUGGAAAAAUAAAUGAAAUGCAUUAAUUGCUUCAUUAA